Stegodyphus mimosarum is the source of this 73-nucleotide non-coding RNA. The record is from Rfam. NCBI's taxonomy places the organism in Eukaryota, Metazoa, Arthropoda, Arachnida, Araneae, Eresidae.
GCCUUCCUGGUGUAGUGUUCAGCACGCUCGACGCGUAACCGAGAGGUCCGUGGUUCGAUUCCCGGCGAAGGCG